Struthio camelus australis is the source of this 879-nucleotide long non-coding RNA. RefSeq lists it as uncharacterized. Lineage: Eukaryota; Metazoa; Chordata; Aves; Struthioniformes; Struthionidae. The record is from RefSeq and is a predicted model, not a curated record.
GAAACAAGAAAUUAGAAAUUCAAAUUAGACUCCUCAGAGUAAAUAAAACAGUAUUUCUGAAAUAGAUCUGUCACAUCAGGCCUAGAGCCACGACUGAUCACUUGAUACUGUCCUCUCUAAUAAAGUUUGGCCUGGGAAAUUCUUAAAACUAACCAAAUCCCAGAGCCAUGUACCCCCUAGAACUACUUUCAAGCACAACUGAAGAGAGUGCACAUAAAAACUUUUUGUUUUUUUAUUUGUGUUUCAUAUGAUUUUCAGCAGUGAAGUCUAUGUGUCCGCUCAUGUCUUGGAAAAAGAGGAAAGCACCUGAGAAGUACAACGCAUGCUAAUAAACCAGUGGGAAAUAUCAAAUUCUAAUAACAAAGUUUCGGAAGGGUGAGUGGAUAUUUCUUCCUGUUCUGACAACGCCCUACGCAUCCCAGAGAGCUGAGACGCACGUAUGCUAAGAGGUAAAACAGUUGCACGUGCACUGACUAUAAAGAGAAUUUUCACAGCAUCUCUCCUUCAUGAUACCAUCUUGCUGUUGAAGAUGCUCAGAAAUUACAUAUUAUAUUAUAAAAAGUGGUAACAAGAAUCACAUUUUCAUUGUGACUUCAGUUGUAGAUUGCCAUUGCUAUGCUCUGCUAAGUGCAAUUUGUAUUUGUAUUGUGAUUUAGGUAGACUCCUGUAUCACUCUGCUAAAUAAAAAUCCUAUGUAACAUCAAGUAACUUCAAAUAAGUAAAUCUAGGAUUAAACAUUAAGCUCUCCACAUGUGGAAUAUCUAAAAGAGCCUGGUCAGAGAGUACUGGACUUUGACAAGUAAACAAAAAUCAGCUUAAAAAUUAACACAUGCCUUCUAUUUACUGCAAGCUUCAAAAUAUUAAAUCGAAUAUACUUUU